Molecule: ribosomal RNA, 440 nt
Filed under: uncultured bacterium
Lineage: Bacteria
Description: bacterial SSU rRNA
Rfam family: Bacterial small subunit ribosomal RNA
Source: RNAcentral
AACGCGAAGAACCUUACCCAGGUUUGAAAUUCAGGAGACAAUACCAGAGAUGGUACUUCCCGCAAGGGCUGCUGAGUAGGUGCUGCAUGGCUGUCGUCAGCUCGUGCCGUGAGGUGUUGGGUUAAGUCCCGCAACGAGCGCAACCCUUAUCAUUAGUUGCCAACACGAAAGGUGGGGACUCUAAUGAGACUGCCUGGGUUAACCAGGAGGAAGGUGAGGAUGACGUCAAGUCCGCAUGGCCUUUAUGUCUGGGGCUACACACGUGCUACAAUGGUCGGUACAGAAGGCAGCUAAGCCGCAAGGUAGAGCAAAUCCGUAAAGCCGAUCUCAGUUCAGAUUGUGGUCUGCAACUCGACCACAUGAAGUUGGAAUUGCUAGUAAUGACGUAUCAGCAACGACGUCGUGAAUACGUUCCCGGGCCUUGUACACACCGGUAUCUC